This 494-nucleotide ribosomal RNA is filed under the name uncultured bacterium. Its description in RNAcentral is "partial 16S ribosomal RNA". It matches the Rfam family "Bacterial small subunit ribosomal RNA", at positions 28 to 507 of the family's 1533-position model. The record is from RNAcentral.
GACGAACGCUGGCGGCGCGCUUAACACAUGCAAGUCGAACGGAAAGGCCUGCUUUCCCUUGUGGAUUGCGGGUACUCGAGUGGCGAACGGGUGAGUAACACGUGAGUGAUCUGCCCCCAACUUGGGUAUAAGCCUGGGAAACUGGGUCUAAUUCCCGAUAGGACUGCAGGGUGGUGCCUGUGGUGGAAAACGAUUUUCUAGUGGUUGGGGAUGAGCUCGCGGCCUAUCAGCUUGUUGGUGGGGUAAUGGCCUACCAAGGCGGCGACGGGUAGCCGGCCUGGGAGGGGGGACGGCCACAUUGGGACUGAGAUACGGCCCAGACUCCUACGGGAGGCAGCAGUGGGGAAUAUUGCACAAUGGGCGGAAGCCUGAUGCAGCGACGCCGCGUGGGGGAUGACGGCCUUCGGGUUGUAAACUCCUUUCGACCGCGAGGAAGCCACCUGGUUGGAAGGGUGGUGACGGUAGUGGUAGAAGAAGCACCGGCUAACUACGUG